CUUACACAUGCAGUCGAGCGGGGAGGUUGCUUCGGUAACUGACCUAGCGGCGGACGGGUGAGUAAUGCUUAGGAAUCUGCCUAUUAGUGGGGGACAACAUUCCGAAAGGGAUGCUAAUACCGCAUACGUCCUACGGGAGAAAGCAGGGGACCUUCGGGCCUUGCGCUAUCAGAUGAGCCUAGGUCGGAUUAGCUAGUUGGUGAGGUAAUGGCUCACCAAGGCGACGAUCCGUAACUGGUCUGAGAGGAUGAUCAGUCACACUGGAACUGAGACACGGUCCAGACUCCUACGGGAGGCAGCAGUGGGGAAUAUUGGACAAUGGGCGAAAGCCUGAUCCAGCCAUGCCGCGUGUGUGAAGAAGGUCUUCGGAUUGUAAAGCACUUUAAGUUGGGAGGAAGGGCAUUAACCUAAUACGUUAGUGUUUUGACGUUACCGACAGAAUAAGCACCGGCUAACUUCGUGCCAGCAGCCGCGGUAAUACGAAGGGUGCAAGCGUUAAUCGGAAUUACUGGGCGUAAAGCGCGCGUAGGUGGUUCGUUAAGUUGGAUGUGAAAGCCCCGGGCUCAACCUGGGAACUGCACCCAAAACUGGCGAGCUAGAGUACGGUAGAGGGUGGUGGAAUUUCCUGUGUAGCGGUGAAAUGCGUAGAUAUAGGAAGGAACACCAGUGGCGAAAGCGACCACCUGGACUGAUACUGACACUGAGUGCGAAAGCGUGGGGAGCAAACAGGAUUAGAUACCCUGGUAGUCCACGCCGUAAACGAUGUCAACUAGCCGUUGGGUUCCUUGAGAACUUAGUGGCGCAGCUAACGCAUUAAGUUGACCGCCUGGGGAGUACGGCCGCAAGUUAAAACUCAAAUGAAUUGACGGGGGCCCGCACAAGCGGUGGGAGCAUGUGGUUUAUUUCGAAGCAAC
Molecule: ribosomal RNA, 914 nt
Filed under: uncultured bacterium
Lineage: Bacteria
Description: bacterial SSU rRNA
Rfam family: Bacterial small subunit ribosomal RNA
Source: RNAcentral